AGUAGUUCAAUUGGUAGAGCAGCGGUCUCCAAAACCGCGUGUUGAGGGUUCGAGUCCUUCCUG
RNAcentral lists this transfer RNA (63 nucleotides) under bovine gut metagenome. It matches the Rfam family "tRNA", at positions 6 to 65 of the family's 71-position model. Rfam says of the family: Transfer RNA (tRNA) molecules are approximately 80 nucleotides in length. Their secondary structure includes four short double-helical elements and three loops (D, anti-codon, and T loops). The record is from RNAcentral.